GCCGGGUCAUUUCCUGACACACUUGUUUGCCACAUGCUCCUUGCUUCUGUCUGCUUCUCUCUAGGUGCUUCCUCCGGGAAGUCUUCCAGGAUGCCCACUUUCUUCUGACUCCUUGUCCCUGGACUCUGGGCUGCUUCCCAUGUCUGGCCUCAGUUUACCCCCUACAAGCCUGAGAGCCCACAUGAUUACCACCUCUUUGCAAAUAAAGGAAGGGAGGCUGAGAGGAUCUCACUGCAUAGUUUAGACUGGCCUUGAAUUCACUAUGUCACCCAGGGAGGGCCUCAAACUCAAAAGCAAUCCUCCUGCCUCAGCUUC
RNAcentral lists this long non-coding RNA (315 nucleotides) under Heterocephalus glaber (naked mole-rat). RNAcentral describes it as "lncRNA (ENSHGLG00100034542.1)". Lineage: Eukaryota; Metazoa; Chordata; Mammalia; Rodentia; Bathyergidae. The record is from RNAcentral.